CGCUCCUUCGUUAUCUACCCCGUCCGGGAGGUCUCCGUCCAGUACUUGGUUUCGUUUGUCCUGCUAACUUGCCCUCGUCCGUGGGCGUCUUCGGCCCUUCUGUCCUUCUUCGUUCGGCCGCCGAGGCUACUGCGUACCCUGCUUGGCGCCCCCCUUCUGGGUGUUUCUUCGUUCGCCCGCUCACGCCGCGUUUCCUCCCGUGCCCGCUCACGUCUUUUUUUCGAUGCUUAAACUCAUUUUUCGUUGCAAUGUAUCGCUUUCGCGUUCUUACUUAUUGCACGUUUUCCUUUCGGGAGCGGUCUGGGCUAGCCGAAUGUUCCCGCG
Molecule: long non-coding RNA, 324 nt
Filed under: Zostera marina
Lineage: Eukaryota; Viridiplantae; Streptophyta; Magnoliopsida; Alismatales; Zosteraceae
Description: long non-coding RNA (ZMAR_LNC000130)
Source: RNAcentral